Molecule: transfer RNA, 84 nt
Filed under: Candidatus Woesearchaeota archaeon
Lineage: Archaea; Nanobdellati; Candidatus Woesearchaeota
Also listed under: 1 other name
Description: tRNA-Ser
Rfam family: tRNA
About the family: Transfer RNA (tRNA) molecules are approximately 80 nucleotides in length. Their secondary structure includes four short double-helical elements and three loops (D, anti-codon, and T loops).
Source: RNAcentral
GCCGGGGUCGCAUAACCUGGUAGUGCGUUAGCCUGCUAAGCUAAUGCCCGCAAGGGCUUGAGGGUUCAAAUCCCUCCUCCGGCG